CUUCCAUCCGUCGCGCAGACCCUGCCGGAGCCGCUGCCGCUAUGGAUGAUCGAGAGGAUCUGGUGUACCAGGCGAAGCUGGCCGAGCAGGCUGAGCGAUACGACGUGCUCUGGAACUGAACCCGCAGUAUCUUCCAAGAAAUGGUGGAGUCAAUGAAGAAAGUAGCAGGGAUGGAUGUGGAGCUGACAGUUGAAGAAAGAAACCUUCUAUCUGUUGCAUAUAAGAAUGUGAUUGGAGCUAGAAGAGCCUCCUGGAGAAUAAUCAGCAGCAUUGAACAGAAAGAAGAAAACAAGGGAGGAGAAGACAAGCUAAAAAUGAUUCGGGAAUAUCGGCAAAUGGUUGAGACUGAGCUAAAGUUAAUCUGUUGUGACAUUCUGGAUGUACUGGACAAACACCUCAUUCCAGCAGCUAACACUGGCGAGUCCAAGGUUUUCUAUUAUAAAAUGUAGGUUCUAUACUAGAAGGGAAAAUGUAAGAUUGAAAGUUGGUCCUUUUAGAAUCAUAACUUUUUUCUCUGUAGGUUUUCAACUUUUAUUUAAGAAUAAUUGUUCAAUGUUAGAAGGAUAGUUAAUACUGGAAUGAAAAGAUGGUCGGGCUAUUAUGAAAAUGUGUUAGCUUUUGCUUAUUUAUAUUCUUUUGUUUUUGUGAGACCUAUCCCAUUCCCUUCCCCCAAACG
This 676-nucleotide small RNA is filed under the name Pongo abelii (Sumatran orangutan). Its description in RNAcentral is "retained intron". Lineage: Eukaryota; Metazoa; Chordata; Mammalia; Primates; Hominidae. The record is from RNAcentral.